This is a long non-coding RNA of Hemibagrus wyckioides, 728 nucleotides long. RefSeq lists it as uncharacterized. NCBI's taxonomy places the organism in Eukaryota, Metazoa, Chordata, Actinopteri, Siluriformes, Bagridae. The record is from RefSeq and is a predicted model, not a curated record. The transcript is spliced from 5 exons.
UAUUUUACUUUAUGUUAAUGAUAUGAAAAUACAACCAACAACAAAUACCUAGUUGGCCCGCCUGCUUGGCAUAAAAGGCAUGUGCAAAUGCAGAUCCUCACGUAAUGACCUACACGUCUUACUCCAGACUUUAACACAACAGCUCACAAUUUUUUUCUUCUCAACUACAAAACUUUUGUUUCUAUUAUACAUCGGCUUAUACAGUUAACUCAUCUGUAUGGAAUUAUCUCCAAACAGAUGACCUUUAAAUUAGUUUUUAAUAAGUUGAAAAUUCAGAGCUUCCCUUUGGAAAAGAACUUUGAGUUGAGAUUUUCAGCAUCUUUGAGGAAGUUGAGGAUGGAAGAUGCUCCAGUUGUUCACUGAACCUCCAGGAUUACAUAAAAAAAUUUGAAGGAAUUUGCUGUUGAAAGAAAAAUGGUUUUCACAAGGAUGGUUUUCACAAGCUGCAGGACACGCAGUACUGCUAACCCACGCAAAGCAAGAAAAAGAUGGGUGGGAACAUCAGUAAAAGAAUUAAUGAUUCUGAAGAGCUGCUGCUGUCUGCUUCAGCUGAAGACCAACAGCUUCCUCAGCAGUGUGUCGACGACCCGGUGCCUUUAAACUCUGUGGUCUUAUAUGAAGAUCUGGAUUUCCCAUUGAUCAAACAGCCACCAGGGUUUAUACCUGAGGCAGCGACACGCUCUGAAGACUGCAAUCCCUUGCCAAUACUUUAGCUGAACAGAAAGAGG